AUUUGGUGAUAUGGGCAUUUGGCAAGGAGGGCUAUGAAUCUCGUCCAAUACUCAUAAAGGCUUUCACCAAUCCCUUGUUGAAAACUGUAGAUCUCUUUCCUCAUUCU
This is a small nucleolar RNA of Neltuma alba, 107 nucleotides long. The record is from RefSeq and is a predicted model, not a curated record. NCBI's taxonomy places the organism in Eukaryota, Viridiplantae, Streptophyta, Magnoliopsida, Fabales, Fabaceae.